This 85-nucleotide transfer RNA is filed under the name Tilletia horrida. RNAcentral's name for it is "tRNA-Val". It matches the Rfam family "tRNA". From Rfam's summary of the family: Transfer RNA (tRNA) molecules are approximately 80 nucleotides in length. Their secondary structure includes four short double-helical elements and three loops (D, anti-codon, and T loops). The record is from RNAcentral. Lineage: Eukaryota; Fungi; Basidiomycota; Exobasidiomycetes; Tilletiales; Tilletiaceae.
GGCUUGUUCGUAUAACGGUUAGUACGCUACCUUCACAUAGACGGACGUCCCGGUAGAAACGUGGGUUCGACUCCCACACGAGUCA